GGAGAGCAGUGGGACAGACAGACUUCAGGGCCAUCCCAGGGUGCGGUAGUUCACACCUACGAUCUGAGUGCCUGAGACUGAAAAAUGAGGAUUACUGCUCUGGAGGGUCAGUCUGGUCCACAUAGUGACCUAGAACAGGCCAGCUGGAGCUACACAGAGGAAUAUGCCUGAGAGCAGCAUGGGAGACUUCAAAUCAUACAAUCCCACAAACCUGGCAGGACAUAUAGUCAUAAGCCUGGCAAGAAAGACAGUAAAGGACACCAUCAAAAUGAAUACUGGGAGAGAGGAGCGUAGCUCACUUGGUAGAGCAUUCGACUGUCAUGUCAUGUGAAGCCCUGAGUUCUAGCU
This is a long non-coding RNA of Mastomys coucha (southern multimammate mouse), 348 nucleotides long. RefSeq lists it as uncharacterized. NCBI's taxonomy places the organism in Eukaryota, Metazoa, Chordata, Mammalia, Rodentia, Muridae. The record is from RefSeq and is a predicted model, not a curated record. The transcript has 3 exons.